AUCUUUUUCUCGCUUGAUCUUUCGCUCGAGAGCAACAGAGAAAGUGAAUAAUGGUGUUUGUUAUAGGGAUCGCUGUUUUGUAAUUUUGGUUGACGGAGCGACACAACCUUACUUCUUUGGUGUAUCGAAAGCGACUAUAUGAAAAUAAACGAGAGAUCGCGAUGGAGACGCUUACCCCUCCCGCAACCCGCUCGGUUACUCAUGAAUCGUGACCCCUCAUUCACCUAUUAGCUUUUUCGCUCUUUCUCGUUGAGUUCGCUAUUUAAAAUGCCCGUAGCUGUCCUUUUCUAAUUCAUCGAUAUAUUUUUUUUAAAUAAAUGCAACAGAUAAGAAAUGUUGAA
Melitaea cinxia (Glanville fritillary) is the source of this 341-nucleotide long non-coding RNA. RefSeq lists it as uncharacterized. The transcript has 2 exons. Lineage: Eukaryota; Metazoa; Arthropoda; Insecta; Lepidoptera; Nymphalidae. The record is from RefSeq and is a predicted model, not a curated record.